AACGAACGCUGGCGGCAUGCCUAACACAUGCAAGUCGAACGAGACCUUCGGGUCUAGUUGCGCACGGGUGCGUAACGCGUGGGAACCUGCCCUUAGGUUCGGAAGAACUCCCCGAAAGGGGUGCUAAUACCGGAUAACGUCUUCGGACCAAAGAUUUAUCGGCUUUGGAUGGGCCCGCGUUGUAUUAGCUAGUUGGUAGGGUAAAAGCCUACCAAGGCGACGAUCCAUAGCUGGUAUGAGAGGAUGAUCAGCCACACUGGGACUGAGACACGGCCCAGACUCUUGCGGGAGGCAGCAGUGGGGAAUCUUGGACAACGGGCGAAAGCAUGAUCCAGCCAUGCCGCGUGAGUGAUGAAGGCCUUAGGGUUGUAAAGCUCUUUUACCCGGGAUGAUAAUGACAGUACCGGGAGAAUAAGCUCCGGCUAACUCCGU
Molecule: ribosomal RNA, 432 nt
Filed under: uncultured bacterium
Lineage: Bacteria
Description: partial 16S ribosomal RNA
Rfam family: Bacterial small subunit ribosomal RNA
Source: RNAcentral